AUAGCAAUAGCUACUUGCAUCAUUGUAAAUAUGAUGCAAGAUCGACUAUGUCGAAUAAAAUUCUAGGUAGAAUUAUGAUAAUGACAUUGUCUGCCUAUGUGUCUUGACCAAAUUACGUGCCAGCAGUCGCGGUAAUACGUAGAAGACUAGUGUUAUUCAUGUUUAAUCGGUUUAAAGGGUACCUAGACGGUAAAUCAAGCCUAAAAGGAAAUAAAUGAAGGGACUAAUUUACUAGAGUUACUUCUGAGGGGGUAUUAAAGUACUGCUGGUGUAGAGAUGAAAUUCUGUCAUACCUCUUUUCAAUAGAAAAAUAAUGGCACAGGUAUAGGCGAAAGCAUCCCCUUAUGUGAUAACUGACGUUGAGGGACGAAGGCUUUGUGUAGCGAACAGGAUUAGAUACCCCAGUAGUCAAAGCAGAAAAUGAUGAAUGUCAUAGAUUAGAUAUAUAAGUUUAUUCUAUAAAUGAAAGUGUAAGCAUUCCACCUCAAGAGUAAUUUGGCAACAUUGGAACUGAAAUCAUUAGACCGUUUCUGAAACCAGUAGUGAAGUAUGUUGUUUAAUUUGAUGAUCCGCAAAAAACCUUACCACAAUUUGAAUAUUUAUAUCUUUUAUUGUUUUUCUUUUUAACUUUCUUCUGAUUUUCUACUUAAAAGAAAACAAUAACAAGAAAAAAGAGGCAAUAAGAUAUAUUUACAAGCGUUGCACGGCUGUCUUCAGUUAAUGUCGCGAGACUCUGGUUAGUUCCAUUAAAUUAACGUAAACCCUUACUUUAUUUUUAUAUAGAGUAGUUCCCCGCUAUAUUGGAUAUGAUAACAGGGACUAAGACAAGUCAUCA
This 835-nucleotide ribosomal RNA is filed under the name Nephromopsis nivalis. Its description in RNAcentral is "SSU rRNA". It matches the Rfam family "Bacterial small subunit ribosomal RNA", at positions 372 to 1195 of the family's 1533-position model. Lineage: Eukaryota; Fungi; Ascomycota; Lecanoromycetes; Lecanorales; Parmeliaceae. The record is from RNAcentral.